RNAcentral lists this ribosomal RNA (700 nucleotides) under uncultured bacterium. RNAcentral's name for it is "bacterial SSU rRNA". It matches the Rfam family "Bacterial small subunit ribosomal RNA", at positions 94 to 792 of the family's 1533-position model. The record is from RNAcentral.
ACCGGCGCACGGGUGCGUAACGCGUAUGCAAUCUACCUUGUACAGAGGGAUAGCCCAGAGAAAUUUGGAUUAAUACCUCAUAGUAUCUUCGGAAGGCAUCUUCUGAUUAUUAAAGUUCCAACGGUACAAGAUGAGCAUGCGUCCCAUUAGCUAGAUGGUAAGGUAACGGCCUACCAUGGCAACGAUGGGUAGGGGUCCUGAGAGGGAGAUCCCCCACACUGGUACUGAGACACGGACCAGACUCCUACGGGAGGCAGCAGUGAGGAAUAUUGGUCAAUGGGCGCAAGCCUGAACCAGCCAUGCCGCGUGCAGGAAGACGGUCCUAUGGAUUGUAAACUGCUUUUAUACGGGAAGAAACACUGCUACGUGUAGCAGCUUGACGGUACCGUAAGAAUAAGCAUCGGCUAACUCCGUGCCAGCAGCCGCGGUAAUACGGAGGAUGCGAGCGUUAUCCGGAAUCAUUGGGUUUAAAGGGUCCGUAGGCGGUCUUAUAAGUCAGUGGUGAAAUCUCCUAGCUCAACUAGGAAACUGCCAUUGAUACUGUAGGGCUUGAAUUAUUGGGAAGUAACUAGAAUAUGUAGUGUAGCGGUGAAAUGCUUAGAUAUUACAUGGAAUACCAAUUGCGAAGGCAGGUUACUAUCAAUAUAUUGACGCUGAUGGACGAAAGCGUGGGGAGCGAACAGGAUUAGAUACCCUGGUA